GUCCUCGUAGCUUAACCAAAGCAUGGCACUGAAGAUGCCAAGACGGUCGCCACCCCGCACCCGAGGACA
Molecule: transfer RNA, 69 nt
Filed under: Aerodramus maximus (black-nest swiftlet)
Lineage: Eukaryota; Metazoa; Chordata; Aves; Apodiformes; Apodidae
Description: tRNA-Phe
Source: RNAcentral